Zalophus californianus (California sea lion) is the source of this 414-nucleotide long non-coding RNA. RefSeq lists it as uncharacterized. The record is from RefSeq and is a predicted model, not a curated record. The transcript is spliced from 3 exons. NCBI's taxonomy places the organism in Eukaryota, Metazoa, Chordata, Mammalia, Carnivora, Otariidae.
GCCCAAAUGUAAAGUUUUGAAAUCAGAGCACCUGCUGUCUGGAUACCGUGUGCGCUUUACACGCAUCAUCGCAUCUAAUCCUCCGUUGAGAAACAGAAUUCCCAAGGGAAACCCGGCAUAGUGACUCUAUUUCCCAGCCUGCCACAGGGAAGUCCCACACGUCGUCGAGGGGCAUGGGAGCCACAGGUCGUCGACGCUGGUGAAGCAACAGCUGGAAGGUGCCCGUGUUCCUGCCAUUUGUGGGCUGCCCUGGUAACCCUGCCAUGUAACUGAGCAGAGGGUCAAAUAAAGUCUCUCGUUCAAGCCUUUGUCAUCCUGAGUUUCUUGUUACUCAGACUUAAUCUUAACUGAUGUAGGAGUUGUAACCUGCUUUACGCUGAAACGAUACCAUCGUUUGAGCACUUACUCUGUUCU